CUAAUCUUAGUUUAAUUUUAGAAUAGAGGUUUUGGGGAUCUUUGGUCUCAAUUUGAGAGAUUUGAG
Molecule: transfer RNA, 66 nt
Filed under: Taenia multiceps
Lineage: Eukaryota; Metazoa; Platyhelminthes; Cestoda; Cyclophyllidea; Taeniidae
Description: tRNA-Pro
Source: RNAcentral